CUGCUUCUCCUCCAUCGCUCUCUGGAGAAAUCAAAAUGAUGAGGAGCUCUGACGUCCACCUUAAAACCCUAGGCCAUUCCGUCCGUACACUUGUCUUCUCGAUCUUCCCUCCUAAGCAGAAACCGCAGUCUCUCUCUCUCUUCCAUUCGCAUACUUACGAAUGUGAGUGAGGGCGGGCUUUCUCUUCCUCCCCAGAAUCAGAAUCAGAAUCAGAAUCAGCAUCCGGAGGAGUGUGGUGAAAAGGACCCGCCUUUUGAGGUGGGUGAUGGGAGUUACGGCGGCUUAGAGGGGGGGGGGGAAACCAUGCUUUCUCUCCCCGUGCGAGCUUAUUUCUUCUCCACUAGGUGGCAUCGUUUAUGUCAUCAUUCUGUAUCUGAAUCAGAACGGACUAAGCGUGUGAUAUCUAACCUACCUACCACUGAUUAUGAGUUAAAAAAAAGAUCAAAACUUUGCAAAUGGUUUUUUUUUAGAAAUUUGAUGAAAUGUGAUGAUUGAAGUGUUGUGUGGAUAUGUGAUUCGUGUGCAGCUUUGAUUUGAAAAGCUUAGUUGACCGAAACAAGCUCUCAACUUCAUCCCACCCACUUGGCGUAUGACUGACUAACUAUGUUGUUCCCAAGUUCGGCAAUCAUUCUGAUCCCACUGGCACUGGUGGGUGCAUAAGUGGGAGUGAGUGCAUUUACAUGGUAGUCUUCCAGUAUGGAUCGAUUCUCUUGUUUAAUGUACGGGAACACGAAGUUGAUGAGUAUCUUAAAGUGGUGGAGAAGCAUUCUUCUGGUUUACUCUCUGAAAUGAGAAAAGACGGUGAGCUUGCUCUUUUUUGCUCUAUAGCUUGAAAGGAUGCGAAAUAUGCUCAGAUAUGGGAGAGUUUCUUAGGGAUGAAUUUGAAUCGGACUCAGAGAUCUGCAAGCCUUGAUUUUAAGCUCAAGUUUGUAGAGCACAACAUUCGUUUCCUUCAGGAAAUACUUCAAAACAGAAAAUCAGAUUUUCUGGAGUGGCGGCUAAUCAUUAUCCUCAUCAGUGCUUGAAAUCGCCAUUUCUCUGUACGAUCUUGUCAGGAGAUCCUUGUGAGUUGUGACCAACUCUCUGCCAUCUCUUUUUUAAAUGCAUAUUCUUCCUCGUGGUGACAAGGAAUCACACUCAGUUUUCACGCUGUAAAGUGAUAGGAAAGCUCAUACAAUCAUAGUUUUAGAAAUGAGUUUCGUACCUUAUUCACUGCUUCUCUGCAGUCAAAGACAAAGUUAAUUUUGUUGAAAGUC
Raphanus sativus (radish) is the source of this 1256-nucleotide long non-coding RNA. RefSeq lists it as uncharacterized. The record is from RefSeq and is a predicted model, not a curated record. Lineage: Eukaryota; Viridiplantae; Streptophyta; Magnoliopsida; Brassicales; Brassicaceae. The transcript is spliced from 3 exons.